UUUUUCUCUGGUUUCUUUUGUUUUGAUUAUUUUUUUUCGUUUUCGUUUUAAAAUUACUUUUUUCUUCUUUCACAAUUAUUUUAAUUUCUUUUCGUCAUUUAAUUAAUCUUCUUCUUCUUCUAGAAUAAUCCAAUGGAUUACAUUUAUUCCUCAUGGUGGUUGAUUAGCGCAAAUUGCCGACAGUUUAAUCAACAGCAUGAUUGUCCCGAUGAAUUGGAAUCUUUGAAAAACUGAUUAUUUCGUUUCUUUUUCUGAUUCUCUUCUUUUCCAUAAACAUUUCACUAUAUCGGGGAUCACAGAUAUCGGGGAUCUGUGUUGUCAAUCAAUCAAUACUUUAUGUGACUAACUGUAGUUAAUUUGAUUAUCAACCCAUUGAAUAGAUGACAGAUGAAAAUGAUGAUAUUCUCAUGAAUUUCUUGCCUUUCGCUUGCUGAUUAGGAGAUUUUACCUGAUUACUGAUGGUUUGGUUGGAAUGACGAUUAAUCAAAAAGCUUACUAAAACAACUUUCACCUUAAUAACCUCAGAAUAAUUAGUCCAGUCUGAACUUGAUUCUAAAUGGUGGUCAUGAAAGAUAAAGGUCAAUCCAAACUGAAAACAAUGCACACUCAAUACUCACAUCAAGAUUAGCUGGACAUUGGAUCAUUGACCAACUCAUUUCGAAAUUGCUGGAAAAAAAACAAUGGAUUUAAUUAGCUGUUAACUUAAUUGUUUGAUAUUCAAAUCUAAAGGCCUGAUGAUUAACACUGGUAAAAUCUCAACGAGGUUAAAUGAACUGUUCAAUAAAUACAAGUGAUUAGUUUUACCCGAUGACAA
Long non-coding RNA from Panonychus citri (citrus red mite), 814 nucleotides. RefSeq lists it as uncharacterized. The transcript has 4 exons. The record is from RefSeq and is a predicted model, not a curated record. NCBI's taxonomy places the organism in Eukaryota, Metazoa, Arthropoda, Arachnida, Trombidiformes, Tetranychidae.